RNAcentral lists this ribosomal RNA (421 nucleotides) under uncultured bacterium. Its description in RNAcentral is "partial 16S ribosomal RNA". It matches the Rfam family "Bacterial small subunit ribosomal RNA", at positions 360 to 773 of the family's 1533-position model. The record is from RNAcentral.
AAUAUUUGACAAUGGGCGAAAGCCUGUUCCAGCCAUCCCGCGUGUCCGAAGAAGGCCUUCGGGUUNUAAAGCACUUUUGGCAGGGANGAAAAGGCCCUGGUUAAUACCUGGAGCUGCUGACGGUACCUGCAUAAUAAGUACCGGCUAACUACGUGCUAGCAGCCGCGGUAAUACGUAGGGUGCAAGCGUUAAUCGGAAUUACUGGGCGUAAAGCGUGCGCAGGCGGUUCGGCAAGACGGAUGUGAAAUCCCAGGGCUUAACCUUGGAACUGCAUUCUUAACUGCCGGGCUAGAGUAUGUCAGAGGGGGGUAGAAUUCCGAGUGUAGCAGUGAAAUGCGUAGAGAUGCGGAGGAAUACCGAUGGCGAAGGCAGCCCCCUGGGAUAAUACUGACGCUCAUGCACGAAAGCGUGGGGAGCAAAC